AGUCGUAACAAGGUCUCCGUUGGUGAACCAGCGGAGGGAUCAUUACUGAGUUUACGCUCUAUAACCCUUUGUGAACAUACCUAUAACUGUUGCUUCGGCGGGUAGGGUCUCCGUGACCCUCCCGGCCUCCCGCCCCCGGGCGGGUCGGCGCCCGCCGGAGGAUAACCAAACUCUGAUUUAACGACGUUUCUUCUGAGUGGUACAAGCAAAUAAUCAAAACUUUUAACAACGGAUCUCUUGGUUCUGGCAUCGAUGAAGAACGCAGCGAAAUGCGAUAAGUAAUGUGAAUUGCAGAAUUCAGUGAAUCAUCGAAUCUUUGAACGCACAUUGCGCCCGCCAGCAUUCUGGCGGGCAUGCCUGUUCGAGCGUCAUUUCAACCCUCAAGCUCUGCUUGGUGUUGGGGCCCUACAGCUGAUGUAGGCCCUCAAAGGUAGUGGCGGACCCUCCCGGAGCCUCCUUUGCGUAGUAACUUUACGUCUCGCACUGGGAUCCGGAGGGACUCUUGCCGUAAAACCCCCAAUUUUCCAAAGGUUGACCUCGGAUCAGGUAGGAAUACCCGCUGAACUUAAGCAUAUCAAUA
This 580-nucleotide ribosomal RNA is filed under the name Colletotrichum sp. BDS-2011. RNAcentral's name for it is "eukaryotic LSU rRNA". The stretch from base 218 to 371 matches the Rfam family "5.8S ribosomal RNA". Lineage: Eukaryota; Fungi; Ascomycota; Sordariomycetes; Glomerellales; Glomerellaceae. The record is from RNAcentral.